UGGGGAAUAUUGCACAAUGGGCGAAGCCUGAUGCAGCCAUGCCGCGUGUGUGAAGAAGGCCUUCGGGUUGUAAAGCACUUUCAGCGGGGAGGAAGGCGUUAAGGUUAAUAACCUUGGCGAUUGACGUUACCCGCAGAAGAAGCACCGGCUAACUCCGUGCCAGCAGCCGCGGUAAUACGGAGGGUGCAAGCGUUAAUCGGAAUUACUGGGCGUAAAGCGCACACAGGCGGUCUGUCAAGUCGGAUGUGAAAUCCCCGGGCUCAACCUGGGAACUGCAUUCGAAACUGGCAGGCUAGAGUCUUGUAGAGGGGGGUAGAAUUCCAGGUGUAGCGGUGAAAUGCGUAGAGAUCUGGAGGAAUACCGGUGGCGAAGGCGGCCCCCUGGACAAAGACUGACGCUCAGGUGCGAAAGCGUGGGGAGCAAACAGG
This 428-nucleotide ribosomal RNA is filed under the name Chloroflexota bacterium. RNAcentral describes it as "Chloroflexi bacterium partial 16S ribosomal RNA". It matches the Rfam family "Bacterial small subunit ribosomal RNA", at positions 355 to 776 of the family's 1533-position model. The record is from RNAcentral. Lineage: Bacteria; Bacillati; Chloroflexota.